Salarias fasciatus (jewelled blenny) is the source of this 1807-nucleotide long non-coding RNA. RefSeq lists it as uncharacterized. The record is from RefSeq and is a predicted model, not a curated record. The transcript is spliced from 3 exons. Lineage: Eukaryota; Metazoa; Chordata; Actinopteri; Blenniiformes; Blenniidae.
AUUGAAUUGAACUUCGUCCAGGAUAACCACAAGAUUGCCACAGGAUAACAACAGUUUGCUGGCUUAAUCCCUUAUCCUGGUUUUGUGCAAUAGGGUCAUGAUUGCAGAGAGUUUGUGGGGGUGUCAGAGGAGGUUGUAUUUUCUAGACAGAUGUGGUCGAUGAGGAGGUUUUUCCAGGGUGUGAUGUGUCUUGAGUCCCGUGAUUUCCAGUUCAUGAGGAGAGUUUUCUUGGCAACAGCUCGCACCACGAGAAGUAAAGGGUUUUGUGUAUGAUCAGGUUUUGAUGUGGACAGGUCUCUGAUAAACAGAGGGUGGGGGAAGCGGGACGUGGCAGCCCAGGAUCUGUGACAGGAUGUCUGUGAUGUUUCUCCAGAAGUGGUGGACAGGUGAGCAGUGCCAGGCUGCAUGAAUGUAGGUAUCUGUGCAGUUUUCUGAGCAGUGUGAACAGUUAUCGGAUGAUGAGAAGCCCAUUUUUUGCAUUUUUUGUCCAGUCAGAUGUGUUCUAUGAAUGAUUUGUAUUGGAUGAGCGUUUUUUGUCAUGAGGAAAAUGUUCUUGCAGAUCUGGGGCCAGAAGUCGGCAUCAGGAGCAACUGUGAGAUCUGUUUGCCAUUUUUCUGAAGGUGUAGAUGAUAUUGUAUCGGUCUGUGAAAUUCACUUGGAUAUUUUAGAUCAGAGUUUUUUUGAAGAGGAGAUAUUAAUGAGGGUAGAAGCUGAAGGGGGGAGGUCGAGGUUUAUGUUUCUGUUUUUCAUUGCUGAUUGGAUGGAUGAUGAAACCUGUAGGUAUUGUAGAAACUGUUGGCUCCUGAUGCCGAGCUUCUGGACCAGGAGCGGGAAUGGGACCAGGGUGUUAUUGUUGAAGAUGUGUUUGAGGGGAGUGAUCCCUUUAUCUGCCCAGGAGCUGAAGCGUAACGGUUGUUUAUUGCUGGUGAAGUCCGGGUUGUGCCAGAUGGGGGUGAAGAGUGAGGGUUCCAGAGUGGAGUCAGUGAUGCUGUGGAAUUUCCACCAGGCUGUCAGAGCCGAUGGGACUGUGGGGUUUUUGAAACAGGGGUGUUUUUUGAUAGACUGAGUGAGAAAUGGUAAAUCUGCUAAAUGUAUUUCAUCACUAACUGUCUGUUCUAUGUCUAACCAAGUGUUGUCUGACUGAGUGGGGUGGGUCCGUUUGUAGAUAUACUGAAGUUGAUUUGCUCGUGAAUAGUGGUGAAUAUUUUGAGCAUUGAGUCCGCCUAAUGGUUUGUUUUCUGAAGUGUGGUCAGUUUUAUUCUUGGGAGUUUAUUUUUCCAAUAGACCGUUUUUCGGUCUACGUCAUCGAGAUACUGCGCGCGCAUUCUGGAUACGGAAGUGGUGUUGUUCUCCAUUCGUUCUAGAUAAAAAAGACGAGCUACCACUGGUUAACAAGCAUUUAAAACCGUUCCCGGUAUCAACAUGACCGGUUGUUGCGUGUACGGUUGUACGAAUCGCUGUUCCACCAGCGGAUUAAAGUUUUAUAGGAUUCCGACAGGAUCACGACCAUUUCAGAGCAACCGGCGGCGUCUGUGGCUGCAGGCGAUUAAACGUGUGGACUGGAAUGAGGACACAAUCAAAAAUGCUGGCGUCUGCAGCGCCCACUUUAUAUCAGGCGAGGCGUCAUUGGACUCCAGUAGUCCCGAUUUUGUGCCAUCUGUGUUUAAGUACACAAAACAAAGUCAGAACCCAGAUGCAAAGAUGGACAGGUAGCAUAGGAAAAGGAGGCGGGAUGACAGACCUGUCCCGGCAGCAGCAGUUCUUUCUGAAAAUCCAGAUCAAGAAUGCAGCACGGAUCCUUGUCCUG